GGGCCGUUAGCUCAGUCGGUUAGAGCAUCGGCCUUUUAAGCCGGUGGUCCUGGGUUCGAGUCCCAGACGGCCCACCA
Molecule: transfer RNA, 77 nt
Filed under: Acidobacteriota bacterium
Lineage: Bacteria; Pseudomonadati; Acidobacteriota
Also listed under: 2 other names
Description: tRNA-Lys
Rfam family: tRNA
About the family: Transfer RNA (tRNA) molecules are approximately 80 nucleotides in length. Their secondary structure includes four short double-helical elements and three loops (D, anti-codon, and T loops).
Source: RNAcentral